This is a non-coding RNA of Hordeum vulgare subsp. vulgare (domesticated barley), 134 nucleotides long. The record is from Rfam. NCBI's taxonomy places the organism in Eukaryota, Viridiplantae, Streptophyta, Magnoliopsida, Poales, Poaceae.
CUUGUACUCUCACCGUCCCAAAAUUCUUGUCUUAGAUUUGUCUAAAUACAAAUGAAUCUAGUUGUGUUUUAGUGUUAGAUACAUCUAUAUAUAGACAAAUGUAAGAAAGAAUUUUAGGACGGAGGGAUUAUAUA